GUGCUCACAUAAGCAGCAAAUAUACCAAAACUGGAACCAAGAUUAGCAUGGCCCCUGCACAAAGAUGACACACAAAUUCAUGAAGUGUUCCAUAUUUUU
This 99-nucleotide small nuclear RNA is filed under the name Chinchilla lanigera (long-tailed chinchilla). Lineage: Eukaryota; Metazoa; Chordata; Mammalia; Rodentia; Chinchillidae. The record is from RNAcentral.